This 446-nucleotide ribosomal RNA is filed under the name uncultured bacterium. RNAcentral describes it as "partial 16S ribosomal RNA". It matches the Rfam family "Bacterial small subunit ribosomal RNA", at positions 338 to 795 of the family's 1533-position model. The record is from RNAcentral.
CCUACGGGUGGCAGCAGUCGAGAAUCAUUCACAAUGGGGGAAACCCUGAUGGUGCGACGCCGCGUGGGGGAAUGAAGGUCUUUGGAUUGUAAACUCCUGUCAUGUGGGAGCAAAUUAAAAAGAUAGUACCACAAGAGGAAGAGACGGCUAACUCUGUGCCAGCAGCCGCGGUAAUACAGAGGUCUCAAGCGUUGUUCGGAAUCACUGGGCGUAAAGCGUGCGUAGGCUGUUGCGUAAGUCGUGUGAGAAAGGCGCGGGCUCAACCCGCGGACGGCACAUGAUACUGUGGGACUAGAGUAAGGGAGGGGGAACCGGAAUUCUCGGUGUAGCAGUGAAAUGCGUAGAUAUCGAGAGGAACACUCGUGGCGAAGGCGGGUUCCUGGACAUUAACUGACGCUGAGGCACGAAGGCCAGGGGAGCGAAAGGGAUUAGAUACCCUUGUAGUC